ACGUGGAAAAAUUUGGAGAAGCCAGGUUCGUGCGUUGCAUUUGGAUGUUCGAACCGAAGAAAGAAAGGGAACUGCAUAAUAUUUCACAAGAAUACACCCAAGAGAGGAAAGGAUGUUACACACCACAUCUCCUUCCUAGUAGAGCUGUGCCUACUGUCUUUCCUGGACAUCCUCCCUAUAAACAGACCCAUGGCUCAAAACUCCCAGCAAAACCAUGUACAUGUACAACAUCCGAAAGUGUUCCCGUGCCUCCAAAGAAACCCUAUGACAUUACAAAAGAACAUGACUAUUCUUUUUCUGUCUGAGUUGAUUAGAAACUGAAUAUAACCAGACAGCAAGUGCAGGAUGCCAAGAAA
This is a long non-coding RNA of Strongylocentrotus purpuratus (purple sea urchin), 356 nucleotides long. RefSeq lists it as uncharacterized. The transcript is spliced from 2 exons. Lineage: Eukaryota; Metazoa; Echinodermata; Echinoidea; Camarodonta; Strongylocentrotidae. The record is from RefSeq and is a predicted model, not a curated record.